GGGGGUACGAGAGGGCCGCUACCACGCGAGUGGAUGCCAAUCCCCAAAACCUCUCUCAGUUCGGACUGGAGUCUGCAACCCGACUCCACGAAGCUGGAUUCGCUAGUAAUCGCGCAUCAGCCACGGCGCGGUGAAUACGUUCCCGGGCCUUGUACACACCGCCCGUCAAGCCAUGGGAGCCGGGGGUACCUGAAGUGCGUAACCGCGAGGAGCGCCCUAGGGUAAAACUGGUGACUGGGGCUAAGUCGUAACAAGGUAUC
Molecule: ribosomal RNA, 260 nt
Filed under: uncultured bacterium
Lineage: Bacteria
Description: partial 16S ribosomal RNA
Rfam family: Bacterial small subunit ribosomal RNA
Source: RNAcentral